Gorilla gorilla gorilla (western lowland gorilla) is the source of this 1193-nucleotide long non-coding RNA. RefSeq lists it as uncharacterized. The transcript has 2 exons. The record is from RefSeq and is a predicted model, not a curated record. Lineage: Eukaryota; Metazoa; Chordata; Mammalia; Primates; Hominidae.
AGGACCCUAGGAGACAGCAGCCAGGGAUAGUGAAGGUGGAGGAUGAGUAUAAAUAGCGACCCCAGCGCGAUCAGAGAAGCUCCCUUACCCCCACCCACCGCAGUGGGAGUGAGUCUUCAGAUCUACCCCCCAGACAAUGAAAUCCUACCCGGGCCAUUGAAGGGAAACCUCCACUCCAACCCCCAGAAGACGCCUUAGAUGAGAAAGUGAAGAGGCAUUGUAUGAGCUCAUUCAUCAAAGGCCAUGCCAUCACCAGCUCAGGCAAUGCUGCUAGGGGAUUCCUACCUCUCUGGAGGUCCAGUUCUCUCUGAAGACAGAGAAGAUGCAGGGAGGAAGGGUUUCAAACAGGAACUCUCAACCCACGUCUGCCAGUUGUAGACUCUGUAAACAAAGUUCCUACUCGCCCGCUGCUGCCACUGCCGCUGCUAUUUUUUGAGGUCAAGACUCUUCCACCUGUAUGCCCAUCUUCAUAGACCGGCCCAUCACUGGUGCCUCAAGCAUUUUCACUAUCACAGCCAGUAAUCUGCAGACUCAACCUCAAGCCUACUUUGUACUUUGGUAUAAACUGCAUGGAUACCAAUCCCUUUUCACAGGUUUUCAUCUCCUGGUCUCCCAUAGGAUCCAGGAUGAGUAUCCUCCCAUUUGACCAGUUCCAUCCCAGUAUGGAGCAGAUAUCCCUUGUAAAGAACACAGUCUCCACCAGCCCACCUGCUUUUAUGGUCAACAGCCCUACCUGAAUUUCCAGCAUUGCCUUUUGACCCAAGAAACACCUGUCACCUGAAAUCUAGGGUUCCAGACAGGCCUCAACAGGAAACAACUCUCUUCAAUGCCCUGUCUUUUCUGGCCCACCUACCACUGCUUCUGCAGUCACCUCCACUAUAGUAAGCAGACCCUCUUCAGACUUGGCAUCCAAGCCUGCCUUUGACUCUGAUGAAAUCAACAUGGAUACCAUGCCCAUUUCCCCAUCUGUUAUCUUCCUGUCUCUCCCUGCAACGUUAACAGCUGUUUCCCUUUGAAGAACCUGGCAGCCCCCAAAAAUCCUUCCUACUUAACCUCUACUGCAGCCCUGGAACCCAAUGACAGCACCAGUCAGCUUUUGGGAAUUUGACUCCCCCAUGUCCACCUUUGGCAUCUGCUAUGGUUUGAAUGUGUCAACCAAAUUUCGUGUAUUAAAAACUCAAUCCCCAAAUUCA